GCCCCCAUCGUCUAGCGGUCCAGGACACCUCUCUUUCACGGAGGGGGCGGGGAUUCGACUUCCCCUGGGGGUA
This 73-nucleotide transfer RNA is filed under the name Lysimachia europaea. RNAcentral's name for it is "Trientalis europaea tRNA-Glu". It matches the Rfam family "tRNA". Rfam says of the family: Transfer RNA (tRNA) molecules are approximately 80 nucleotides in length. Their secondary structure includes four short double-helical elements and three loops (D, anti-codon, and T loops). Further hydrogen bonds mediate the characteristic L-shaped molecular structure. tRNAs have two regions of fundamental functional importance: the anti-codon, which is responsible for specific mRNA codon recognition, and the 3' end, to which the tRNAs corresponding amino acid is attached (by aminoacyl-tRNA synthetases). tRNAs cope with the degeneracy of the genetic code in two manners: having more than one tRNA (with a specific anti-codon) for a particular amino acid; and 'wobble' base-pairing, i.e. permitting non-standard base-pairing at the 3rd anti-codon position. Lineage: Eukaryota; Viridiplantae; Streptophyta; Magnoliopsida; Ericales; Primulaceae. The record is from RNAcentral.